UGGGUGGUGCAGCAAUAUUAUUAUCAAAUAAAUCGUCCGAUCGAAAGCGUUCAAAAUACCAACUCAUACACACAGUACGAACACACAAAGGCGCCGAUGACAAGAGCUAUGGAUGUGUGUUCCAAGAAGAAGACGAUAAUAAAAAAAUCGGGGUCGCGCUGUCUAAAGACCUAAUGGCUGUAGCAGGGGAGGCCUUGAAAACGAACAUUACAACUCUAGGGCCAAUCGUUCUACCUAUGUCCGAACAACUAUUAUUUUUCGCGACAUUAGUCGCGAGGAAAGUGUUGAAGAUGAAAAUAAAACCGUAUAUUCCUGAUUUUAAGUUAGCGUUUGAACAUUUUUGUAUACACGCUGGUGGUAGGGCGGUGUUGGAUGAG
RNAcentral lists this unclassified non-coding RNA (377 nucleotides) under Hevea brasiliensis (rubber tree). Lineage: Eukaryota; Viridiplantae; Streptophyta; Magnoliopsida; Malpighiales; Euphorbiaceae. The record is from RNAcentral.